GUAGGUGGCAAGCGUUGUCCGGAAUUAUUGGGCGUAAAGCGCGCGCAGGCGGUUCUUUAAGUCUGAUGUGAAAGCCCACGGCUCAACCGUGGAGGGUCAUUGGAAACUGGAGAACUUGAGUACAGAAGAGGAAAGCGGAAUUCCACGUGUAGCGGUGAAAUGCGUAGAGAUGUGGAGGAACACCAGUGGCGAAGGCGGCUUUCUGGUCUGUAACUGACGCUGAGGCGCGAAAGCGUGGGGAGCAAACAGGGAUUAGAUACCCUGAUAGUCCACGCCGUAAACGAUGAGUGCUAAGUGGUUAGGGGGGUUUCCCGCCCCCCUUAGUGCUGCAGUUAACGCAUUAAGCACUCCGCCUGGGGAGUACGGCCGCAAGGCUG
Molecule: ribosomal RNA, 377 nt
Filed under: uncultured organism
Description: partial 16S ribosomal RNA
Rfam family: Bacterial small subunit ribosomal RNA
Source: RNAcentral